RNAcentral lists this ribosomal RNA (426 nucleotides) under uncultured bacterium. RNAcentral describes it as "bacterial SSU rRNA". It matches the Rfam family "Bacterial small subunit ribosomal RNA", at positions 958 to 1398 of the family's 1533-position model. The record is from RNAcentral.
AACGCGAAGAACCUUACCCAGGCUUGACAUCCUGCCAAGGUCUCCGAAAGGGGAUUGUGCCUUCGGGCCGCAGUGACAGGUGGUGCAUGGCCGUCGUCAGCUCGUGUCGUGAGAUGUUUGGUUAAGUCCAUCAACGAGCGCAACCCUUGUAGUUAGUUGUAAUUUUUCUAGCUAGACUGCCCUGGUAACAGGGAGGAAGGAGGGGAUGAUGUCAGGUCAGUAUUUCCCUUACGUCUGGGGCCACAAACACGCUACAAUGGCCGGUACAAAGGGCUGCCAAGUCGCGAGACGGAGCAAAUCCCAUCAAAGCCGGUCUCAGUUCGGAUUGUAGGCUGAAACUCGCCUGCAUGAAGUCGGAAUCGCUAGUAACGGUAGGUCAGCAAUACUACCGUGAAUACGUUCCCGGGCCUUGUACACACCGGAGUA